ACUUAACAGCUAGCAUAGUAAUUAAAUUUCAACAUAACAAUAUUAAUAACCCCUAAUAUUUGAUUUAUCUUAAUUAAACCAUUUUUCCUCCUAAGUACAGGCGAUAGAAAAGGAACUUAUUUUAUAGCUAUAGAAAAAGUACCGCAAGGGAACGCUGAAAAAGCAAAUGAAAAAACCCAGUAAAGUGAUAGAAAGCAGAGAUAACUACUCGUACCUUUUGCAUCAUGAUUUAGCAAGUCCGUAUUAAGCAAAAAGAACUAUAGUUUAAUCUCCCGAAAUUAAGUGAGCUACUCCAAGACAGCCUUAAAAAAUAGGGCAAACACAUCUCUGUAGCAAAAGAGUGUGAAGAGCUUCGAGUAGAGGUGAAAAAUCUAUCGAACUUAAUAAUAGCUGGUUGCCUAAAAAAAGAAUAGAAGUUCAGCCUUUAUUUUUCUUAAAUUUUUUCCUAUGGAUUAUACCAAAAAAUGAAAAACAAAGGAAAAUAAAGAGUUAUUCAAAGGAGGUACAGCUCCUAUGAAAUAAGAUACAACUUUACAAGAAGGAUAUUGAUCAUAAUAUUAUUAAGGUUAAUGUUUUAGUGGGCUUAAAGGCAGCCAUCUAGAAAAAUAGCGUUAAAGCUUAAACAUUUUUCUCACCAAUAAAUAAUGAAAAGUUCAUCAUAUUCCUCUAGAUUCAUUAGGCUAUUCUAUAUAAUAGAAGAAAUUAUGCUAAAAUGAGUAAUUAGAGGAACAUCUCUCCAAGCAUAAGUGUACUUCGGAACGGAAAACACCACCGAAAAUUAAUCGAACCCAAAAUAAGAGGGUAAUGAAACAAAAAAAGAUAACUAGAAAAUUCUUCAAAUUUUGCCGUUAAUCCUACACUGGCGUGCAUAUCACGGAAAGACUAAAAGAAAAAGAAGGAACUCGGCAAACAUUUUUUAAGCCUCGCCUGUUUACCAAAAACAUCGCCUCUUGAUUUAUUAAUUAUAAGAGGUCCCGCCUGCCCUGUGACUAAUGUUUAACGGCCGCGGUAUUUUGACCGUGCAAAGGUAGCGCAAUCAAUUGUCUUUUAAAUGAAGACCUGUAUGAAUGGCAUAACGAGGGCUUAACUGUCUCCUUUUUUCAGUCAAUGAAAUUGAUCUUCCCGUGCAGAAGCGGGAAUUAUAACAUAAGACGAGAAGACCCUAUGGAGCUUAUAAACGCAAGAGUAGAUCACACUAAUUAAUCUAUUAUAACUAGAUUUACUAAACCAACUGAAAUCCUGCUCUAAUGUUUUUGGUUGGGGCGACCACGGAGUAGAAUUUAACCUCCACGCAGAACGAAAAUACUUAUUUUUCGAUUCAAGGAAAACAAUCCUAGAACCCAGAACUUCUGACUUUUAUUGAUCCGGCUAAAGCCGAUUUACGAACCAAGUUACCCUAGGGAUAACAGCGCAAUCCUCUUUUAGAGUCCCUAUCGACAAGAGGGUUUACGACCUCGAUGUUGGACCAGGACAUCCUAUUGGUGUAGCCGCUAUUAAGGGUUCGUUUGUUCAACGAUUAAAGUCCUACGUGAUCUGAGUUCAGACCGGAGCAAUCCAGGUCAGUUUCUAUCUAUGAUAUGAUCUUUUUUAGUACGAAAGGACCGAGAAGAAAAGGCCUCUACUCAAAGCAAGCCUUCCUCCUAUUUAAUGUAAACAACUAAAUUAAAUAAAGAGGCAUAAGUCUUUUCAAGCUAAGAUAAU
RNAcentral lists this ribosomal RNA (1701 nucleotides) under Epiplatys dageti (redchin panchax). Its description in RNAcentral is "16S ribosomal RNA". The stretch from base 95 to 1624 matches the Rfam family "Bacterial large subunit ribosomal RNA". The record is from RNAcentral. Lineage: Eukaryota; Metazoa; Chordata; Actinopteri; Cyprinodontiformes; Nothobranchiidae.